Molecule: unclassified non-coding RNA, 21 nt
Filed under: Chlamydomonas reinhardtii
Lineage: Eukaryota; Viridiplantae; Chlorophyta; Chlorophyceae; Chlamydomonadales; Chlamydomonadaceae
Description: small RNA Cre_0106
Source: RNAcentral
AAGCACUGGUCCAUGACGCGG